Molecule: ribosomal RNA, 497 nt
Filed under: uncultured bacterium
Lineage: Bacteria
Description: bacterial SSU rRNA
Rfam family: Bacterial small subunit ribosomal RNA
Source: RNAcentral
AGAGUUUGAUUCUGGCUCAGGAUGAACGCUGGCGGCGUGCUUCAUACAUGCAAGUCGAACGAGAAUUUGGAGCUUGCUACCAAAGGAAAGUGGCGGACGGGUGAGUAAUACAUAGGGAAUCUGCCCUUAGCUGGGGGACAACAGUUGGAAACGACUGCUAAUACCGCAUAUGAGCUAACCUGAAAUGGUUAUCUUGAAAACUCCGGUGGCUAAGGAUGAGCCUGUGCCUGAUUAGCUUGUUGGCGGGGUAAUGGCCCACCAAGGCGACGAUCAGUAGCUGGUUUGAGAGGAUGAUCAGCCACAAUGGGACUGAGACACGGCCCAUACUCCUACGGGAGGCAGCAGUAGGGAAUUUUGCGCAAUGGGCGAAAGCCUGAACCGCAGCGAACGCCGCGUGUGUGAUGAACGCCCCGUAGGGGUGUAAAACACUGUCAGUAGGGACGAAUUUUGACGGUACCUACAGAGGAAGCACCGGCUAACUCCGUGCCAGCCGCCGC